RNAcentral lists this transfer RNA (86 nucleotides) under Puniceicoccales bacterium. RNAcentral's name for it is "tRNA-Leu". It matches the Rfam family "tRNA". Rfam says of the family: Transfer RNA (tRNA) molecules are approximately 80 nucleotides in length. Their secondary structure includes four short double-helical elements and three loops (D, anti-codon, and T loops). Lineage: Bacteria; Pseudomonadati; Verrucomicrobiota; Opitutia; Puniceicoccales. The record is from RNAcentral.
GCCCGGGUGGCGGAAUGGUAGACGCUGAGGACUUAAAAUCCUUUGUCCGUUAGGACGUGCGGGUUCGAGUCCCGCCUCGGGCACCA